This 406-nucleotide ribosomal RNA is filed under the name uncultured bacterium. RNAcentral describes it as "partial 16S ribosomal RNA". It matches the Rfam family "Bacterial small subunit ribosomal RNA", at positions 30 to 526 of the family's 1533-position model. The record is from RNAcentral.
AUUGAACGCUGGCGGCAGGCCUAACACAUGCAAGUCGAGCGAGCGGUGGACGGGUGAGUAAUGUCUGGGAAACUGCCUGAUGGAGGGGGAUAACUACUGGAAACGGUAGCUAAUACCGCAUACCAUCAGAUGUGCCCAGAUGGGAUUAGCUAGUAGGUGGGGUAACGGCUCACCUAGGCGACGAUACCUAGCUGGUCUGAGAGGAUGACCAGCCACCCUGGAACUUAGACACGGUCCAGAAUCCUACGGGAGGCAGCAGUGGGGAAUAUUGCACAAUGGGCGCAAGCCUGAUGCAGCAAGGCCGCGUGUGUGAAGAAGGCCUGCGGGUUGUAAAGCACUUUCAGCGGGUAGGCGUUACCCGCAGAAGAAGCACCGGCUAACUCCGUGCCAGCAGCCGCGGUAAUAC